CAACAGCAGCCGCGGGAAUACGUAGGGUGCAAGCGUUAAUCGGAAUUACUGGGCGUAAAGCGUGCGCAGGCGGUCCGCUAAGACAGAUGUGAAAUCCCCGAGCUUAACUUGGGAACUGCAUUUGAGACCGUAUGGCUAGAGUGUGUCAGAGGGGGGUAGAAUUCCACGUGUAGCAGUGAAAUGCGUAGAUAUGUAGAGGAAUACCGAUGGCGAAGGCAGCCCCCUGGGAUAACACUGACGCUCAUGCACGAAAGCGUGGGGAGCAAACAGGAUUAGAUACCCGAGUAGUCCCUGUCUCUUAUAC
This 304-nucleotide ribosomal RNA is filed under the name uncultured bacterium. Its description in RNAcentral is "partial 16S ribosomal RNA". It matches the Rfam family "Bacterial small subunit ribosomal RNA", at positions 506 to 807 of the family's 1533-position model. The record is from RNAcentral.